Molecule: ribosomal RNA, 256 nt
Filed under: uncultured bacterium
Lineage: Bacteria
Description: partial 16S ribosomal RNA
Rfam family: Bacterial small subunit ribosomal RNA
Source: RNAcentral
UACGUAGGGUGCAAGCGUUAAUCGGAAUUACUGGGCGUAAAGCGUGCGCAGGCGGUUUUGUAAGUCUGUCGUGAAAGCCCCCGGGCUCAACCUGGGAAUUGCGAUGAAGACUGCAAGGCUUGAAUCUGGCAGAGGGGGGGUAGAAUUCCACGUGUAGCAGUGAAAUGCGUAGAGAUGUGGAGGAACACCGAUGGCGAAGGCAGCCCCCCUGGGUCAAGAUUGACGCUCAUGCACGAAAGCGUGGGGAGCAAACAGG